CUCAGAGGCCACGUGCUGAAGAUGGCAGAGCUAAAAGAUGGAAGAAGCCUGCAUCCCUGAGGUACUUCAUGAAAGGAUCCAACCAACAGAGCUGCCCAGGACUUUACAUGAUCUUCAUCAUUAAGAAUGCUUCAGCUGAAGAUUUUGAAGAUCUUACUGAUGCACUGUGUUUCCCAGGACCAUCUUCCAAAUAAAUUAUUUGCACUUCAAACUUUUCUUCUGGGGUAAACUGAACUAGAAACACGAAGAUUCCUAGAGCUCCAGGUUUGUUCUUUCCUAUAUUAAGAAGAAUGGAAGGCUGAAGAAGACUCCCUUAUCCCUUGGAGAUAGAUGGUACCUUAGGCAUCUGCUAUUCAUGGAAACGUUACAUGCCACAAGCAUAAUGACGACAUGUACAAAGGCCCCUCUGUGACCCCAGGAAAUCAACAGUGCCAAGACUAUUUAAUAACUAUUAAAGUUUUAAAGGACCUUCGAGGGUAAAAAAAGACACAUUGAUGUUACCUAAUGUUUUCUAAAGAAUAUAAAUCUCAUUAUGAGAAAACAAGGGGAAAGAAUAUAACUUUACUGUGUACUAAGGUCAAUGCAACAAAAGGCACCUGAUUUUUUUUUCUCUGAAAAGAAUUGCUUAUAUGCUUCUUAUUUAAUAAUAAACAGAACUUUCAC
This 663-nucleotide long non-coding RNA is filed under the name Equus asinus (donkey). RNAcentral's name for it is "lncRNA (ENSEASG00005037292.1)". Lineage: Eukaryota; Metazoa; Chordata; Mammalia; Perissodactyla; Equidae. The record is from RNAcentral.